Molecule: RNA transcript, 2630 nt
Organism: Cynoglossus semilaevis (tongue sole)
Lineage: Eukaryota; Metazoa; Chordata; Actinopteri; Pleuronectiformes; Cynoglossidae
Gene: trmt1
Gene name: tRNA methyltransferase 1
Exons: 17
Source: RefSeq, a predicted model, not a curated record
AGCUUCGCGCUUUAGCGUUGGUCGCGCAGGCUUCCGUAGGGACGCGCUAGAAAACAUGGCUGCUCCCUUGAACUAACGUGAGGGAACUCUGCGCAGAAGCAGUCACAGCUGAUUUUAAGAAACUGCGACAGUUUACGGGCUUUCUACAAUUUAUUUUCACUGCAGCGGCUAAGAGCUAAAGGCUGUUGAUGCUGUUGUGGUCAUCACGUCUUUUCUCUCUCAUCAUCCACUACCCACUGCGUCACACCUGCACGUUUGCUUCUGCAAAGAAACCGUGGUGGAACUUAGGUUCAUCUGCUGCCACUGUUUUUAGCAGGACAUUAACGUCAAUGGAGCCCAAGGACACAGAAGUGACCAACACUACGUCCAGCCCUCUGCCCACAUUCACUGAAGUGUCGGCUGACCUCCAGAGUCCAGCUGCAGCACAAGCGCCAAAUGUUAACACGGAGAUGCCUGCUGUGGGUCUUUUACCAGGAGAGACGGUUGUCAAGGAGGGCAGGGCGAACAUCUUAUACCCCAAUGCAAAUGAGGUGUUUUACAACCCGGUGCAAGAGUUUAACAGGGAUUUGACUUGUGCCGUGAUCACGGAGUUUGCCAGAGAUGUGCUUGCUCAGCGUGGGGUGAAGCUGGUGGUUCCUGGAGAAAAGGAGAAGGUGGUGGUCUCCCUGUCGGAGGAGAAGAACGAGGCUGAUUCACAGAUGGAGGAGGAAAACGGAGCAGAGGAGCCGGCGGUUACUGCGACAGUGGGGGAGAAGUGUGACACUGGUCUCCGUGUACUGGAGGGGUUGGCAGCAUCUGGUUUGCGCUCUGUGCGUUUUGCCCUGGAAGUCCCUGGUCUGAAGAGCAUCACCGCUAACGAUUUCUCCCACAAGGCCGCGGCUCUGAUCGCUCGGAACGCCCAGUACAACAGAGUCAGCCACCUGCUGGAAGCUAGCUGCAAAGACGCCAGUUUGCUGAUGUACGAGAUGCGGGGGAAGAAGGACCGCUAUGACGUAAUUGAUCUGGAUCCCUAUGGUAGCCCGUCCUGUUUUCUAGAUGCUGCCGUGCAGGCUGUCAGUGAAGGAGGACUUCUGUGUAUCACGUGUACAGACAUGGCAGUCAUGGCUGGGAAGAGGGGGGAGACCUGCUACAGCAAGUACGGCUCUGUCUCCAUCAAGUCAAAGUACUGUCAUGAGAUGGCUCUGCGUAUCAUCCUCCACAGUUUGGACCAGAGAGCUGCGGUCUACCAGCGCUACAUCCAACCACUGCUGUCGGUCAGCGUGGACUUCUACAUCAGAGUUUUCGUACGAGUCUUUACGGGACAGGCCAAAGUCAAAAACUCAGCCAGUAAACAGGCGCUCGUCUACAACUGUGUGGGCUGUGGCUCCUUCCAUUUACAGAGCAUGGGCAAGAGAAUCGACAAUGGGAAAAAUAUGAAGUAUUCUGCUGCCACUGGACCUCCAGUUGGACGGGAGUGUGAGCACUGUGGACAGAGACAUCAGCUGGGCGGUCCCCUGUGGGCGGAGCCUAUCCACGACUCCUCAUUUGUCCAUAAGGUUCUGUCAGCUGUGUCGGGGAACCCCUCCAGAUUUGGGACGACCAAACGUAUCGAGGGCAUGCUCAGCAUGGUGACGGAGGAGCUGGAAGAUGUUCCUUUUUAUUACACUGUGGACGGUCUGAGCAGCACCAUACACUGCAACACUCCGCCCCUGCUCCAGUUCAGGUCAGCCCUCCUUCAUGCAGGUUACAGAGUUUCUCUCACCCACGCCUGUAAGAACGCCAUAAAAACAGACGCUCCCCCCAGUGUCAUCUGGGACAUCAUGAGAUGUUGGGAAAAGGUGAAUCCUGUGAGGAGAGAGAAGCUCUCAGAGACCAGCCCUGCUUUCAGAAUCCUCUCCACUGAGGCCAAGCUGGAGGCCUGCUUCACUGUGAGGAACGACGCCAACCCUCAGUCACGGAAACGCCACCUGACGCGAUUCCAGGAGAAUCCUCAGGCGUACUGGGGGCCCAAAGCUAGGGCCAAAGCUUGUGGGGGCAUCGCCACAGACCUGCAGGACAAGAGGAAGAAGUUCCAGAACAAGAGGAAGAGCCAGGUCACAGACUCUGCUCAGCUCAAGGACUUUCCCUGCAAGAGAUUCAAACAGGGAACAUGUACACACGGAGACGACUGUCGCUACUCUCACAAGUCAGAGCAGACAACUGAAGAGAAGACGGAGUAAACCUACAGAUUUGUUUUUUUAAUUAUAUAUUUUUCUGGACUUUUAAAUGGUCAAUGCAGCCUGAUCACAGUGAGGAUAGCAGGCUGCAGUUGUUUCCAGAGACGAUCGUCUGAAAUGAAAAAUCUCAGCAUCUUUACAUCAUGAGGCAGGUUUGAACACACAACAUCUACUCAAAGACAAGUGAUCAACAGUCACUGAACACUUACGAAUCACGAGUUUUAAUUUGGAGACGCUGCACAAUCAGUACAAAAAGCGUUUGUCACAUUGGCAUUAGUAGAAAAUGAUUUUCUUAUUGCACUCACCUGGGACCGUGUGCAGUGAUACAGGAAGAAACCCGAUCUAAACUUUGUAAGAGACGAUCGUGACAAACCACGUCUCAACGUCCUCCUCCAAAACUCUUCAAACCAGCACGAAAGUCCAGGCACGGUUGUU